GCGGGCGUAGUUCAGUUGGUAGAACGUCUCCUUGCCAAGGAGAAGGUCGGCAGUUCGAGCCUGCUCGCCCGCU
RNAcentral lists this transfer RNA (73 nucleotides) under candidate division WOR-1 bacterium RIFCSPHIGHO2_01_FULL_53_15. RNAcentral's name for it is "tRNA-Gly". It matches the Rfam family "tRNA". From Rfam's summary of the family: Transfer RNA (tRNA) molecules are approximately 80 nucleotides in length. RNAcentral also lists the same sequence under 2 other names. The record is from RNAcentral. Lineage: Bacteria; Bacillati.